GGAUAUGAAGGUGAUCUGGCACAUCUGUCACCCAUGGGUCGCCUGUGUUGAUUCCCAUGAUUUGGCUGCCUCAGCAGGUGUCCCCUUCCUUCCUCACCGCUCCACGUGCGUCCCUCCCGAAGCUGCACGCUCAGUCGAAGAGGACGGCCUUCCCCUAUAGAGGAGGACCACUCUGCGGUCCAGGGUAUACAGGUAGCCACGUUCCCUGGCUAGAACCUCCAAACAAGCUCUCCAGGUCCGUUUGUAGGAGAACAUAGGUUCGUCAAGCUUCUGAGACUGCAGACACAUCCAAGUGAGGUGCUGCCUGUGGCAGUCUGCUUUUU
Molecule: small nuclear RNA, 323 nt
Filed under: Prolemur simus (greater bamboo lemur)
Lineage: Eukaryota; Metazoa; Chordata; Mammalia; Primates; Lemuridae
Description: 7SK RNA (ENSPSMG00000010441.1)
Rfam family: 7SK RNA
About the family: 7SK was discovered as an abundant small nuclear RNA in the mid-70s but a possible function has only recently been suggested. Two independent studies have found that 7SK RNA binds the CDK9/cyclin T complex (known as elongation factor P-TEFb).
Source: RNAcentral